This 496-nucleotide ribosomal RNA is filed under the name uncultured bacterium. RNAcentral's name for it is "partial 16S ribosomal RNA". It matches the Rfam family "Bacterial small subunit ribosomal RNA", at positions 355 to 838 of the family's 1533-position model. The record is from RNAcentral.
UGGGGAAUAUUGCACAAUGGGCGCAAGCCUGAUGCAGCCAUGCCGCGUGUGUGAAGAAGGCCUUCGGGUUGUAAAGCACUUUCAGCGAGGAGGAAGGUGGUGAGCUUAAUACGCUCAUCAAUUGACGUUACUCGCAGAAGAAGCACCGGCUAACUCCGUGCCAGCAGCCGCGGUAAUACGGAGGGUGCAAGCGUUAAUCGGAAUUACUGGGCGUAAAGCGCACGCAGGCGGUUUGUUAAGUCAGAUGUGAAAAUCCCCGGGCUCAACCUGGGAACUGCAUUUGAAACUGGCAAGCUAGAGUCUCGUAGAGGGGGUAGAAUUCCAGGUGUAGCGGUGAAAUGCGUAGAGAUCUGGAGGAAUACCGGUGGCGAAGGCGGCCCCCUGGACGAAGACUGACGCUCAGGUGCGAAAAGCGUGGGGAGCAAAACAGGAUUAGAUACCCUGGUAGUCCACGCUGUAAAACGAUGUCGAUUUUGGAGGUUGUGCCCCUUGAGGC